This 452-nucleotide ribosomal RNA is filed under the name uncultured bacterium. Its description in RNAcentral is "bacterial SSU rRNA". It matches the Rfam family "Bacterial small subunit ribosomal RNA", at positions 354 to 796 of the family's 1533-position model. The record is from RNAcentral.
GUCGAGAAGCUUCGGCAAUGGGCGAAAGCCUGACCGAGCGACGCCGCGUGAGCGAAGAAGGCCCUAUGGGUUGUAAAGCUCUGUCAGAUUGGGAAGAAAACCCCGCGGUUAAUACCUGCGGGGCUUGACGGUACCAUCAGAGGAAGCACCGGCUAACCCCGUGCCAGCAGCCGCGGUAAUACGGGGGGUGCGAGCGUUGUUCGGAUUCACUGGGUAUAAAGGGUGCGCAGGCGGACUGGUAAGUCAGAGGUGAAAUUUGUCGGCUCAACCGACAGACUGCCCCUGAAACUGCCAGUCUUGAGUCCGGGAGAGGUAGGUGGAAUUCCAGGUGUAGCGGUGAAAUGCGUAAAUAUCUGGAGGAACACCGGUGGCGAAGGCGGCCUACUGGCCCGGAACUGACGCUCAGGCACGAAAGCUAGGGGAGCGAACGGGAUUAGAAACCCCUGUAGUCC